AAAGGAAGUGAUGGAAGAUAGAAGAAGGAUGAUGGGAAGUCACAGGAACCGGCCAAUUCCGAAGAGAGGUCAAGUGAAAGCGGCGAUCGUCGUGGGUUUUGCAAACUAUUUGGCCUCUUUCUUUGUUAAUCAUAACGGAAGCUCUUUUACAUCACAAGAUUGCUGACAUUUUAGGAAUUUUUUGAUGAUAUUUUGUAGCUCAAGGAUUAAACAUUGCCUACUU
Molecule: long non-coding RNA, 223 nt
Filed under: Amborella trichopoda
Lineage: Eukaryota; Viridiplantae; Streptophyta; Magnoliopsida; Amborellales; Amborellaceae
Description: long non-coding RNA (ATRI_LNC002293)
Source: RNAcentral